RNAcentral lists this transfer RNA (93 nucleotides) under Rugosibacter aromaticivorans. RNAcentral's name for it is "tRNA-Ser (GCT) (tRNA-Ser-GCT-1-1)". It matches the Rfam family "tRNA". From Rfam's summary of the family: Transfer RNA (tRNA) molecules are approximately 80 nucleotides in length. RNAcentral also lists the same sequence under 2 other names. The record is from RNAcentral. Lineage: Bacteria; Pseudomonadati; Pseudomonadota; Betaproteobacteria; Nitrosomonadales; Sterolibacteriaceae.
GGAGACGUGGCCGAGUGGUCGAAGGCACGCCCCUGCUAAGGGCGCAUCUGGGCAAAACCCGGAUCCAGGGUUCGAAUCCCUGCGUCUCCGCCA